Molecule: ribosomal RNA, 419 nt
Filed under: Shigella flexneri 1235-66
Lineage: Bacteria; Pseudomonadati; Pseudomonadota; Gammaproteobacteria; Enterobacterales; Enterobacteriaceae
Description: partial 23S ribosomal RNA
Source: RNAcentral
CAUCGGAAUUGUUCAUCAACGUAUUGAUGCCGCUACGAAACGCUGCGCGGUUAGCCAGCCCGGUUAAUGGGUCAUGUAGCGCGGUACGCAGAAGCUGCGCAUUUUUGGCCUGUAAACGAAGCUGCCACUCUUCCAUUUCAUCCAGCAGACUGUUGAAGUCGAGAGCGAAGCGGUGAAACUCAGCGAUACGUUCUUCCGAAACUCGUCGGGAAAAAUUGCGGUUGGAACGCACAUCAUGUACGACAUCGGUGAUAUUUUUCAGUGCUUCCACCAGGCCAUUGUGCAAAUGGCGGGUGAGGGUAAUUGCGAUGCCUGAUGCCAGCAGAAUACAACCGGUCAGUACGGCGAGCGAAAACCAGACAAAAUGGCUGAUUGAACUGUCGCGAGCGGUUAAGCGUACUUCGCCAAUGGUUUCACCA